Molecule: non-coding RNA, 733 nt
Organism: Delphinapterus leucas (beluga whale)
Lineage: Eukaryota; Metazoa; Chordata; Mammalia; Artiodactyla; Monodontidae
Source: RefSeq, a predicted model, not a curated record
GCUAUUUCAACUGAACUCAAGAAGUAUUUCUCGAGCACACACUAUAUCAGAAGGGCUACAGAGGUAAAUGAGACAGUCCUGGCUCGGGGGACCACACCGUAGGGAAGAGAGCACCUUUCCCGGGUUGGUGAAGAUGCAGAUCUGAAUGUUUAGGGGAUGGACCCAGAGUCUCAGGAGACCUUCCUUGCGUUUUGCUGACUGACCUCGACCUCCUGUCAUUGUUCGCAGGAAGCAGGACCACAGGAUCAUAGGUCUUCAUAUUGUGAGGAACUGUACUCGAGGAGCUGUUCUCUAGGACACCUGAGGAGUCUCCUCCACACUUGUACAUGAUUUAGUACCAAGAUCAUGGACUUCAAGCUGAUGCUCUAAGAGAAUAAGACAUUGGGGAAGUCUUUGGUAGGGGAGCUGUGGAACAUCUAAAACACCCGCCACCGAUCUUUAAGUUAUCCAGUGUGGCCGUAAUGAAUUCAUCUAUGAGUCCAUGAAACCCGGCGCUCCCGCCAGGACCAGGUCUAUAACGAUCAUCCUGAGUUUCCUCUUCAUUGUUACCGCCCGUCUUGUCAUCACUGUCAGCACCCAUUACAUUUGCCAAGCACUGAACAGUGUGAGCUGUUUUCCUUGGAGCUGGAGACGAGGGGUGCAGUGGGACUUGACAAGGAGACGUUGGGGGAUCACAUGCUCCCCAACAUACUUUGUCACGGCUACUUAGAAUCAACGUCAUUCAGAGCAUCAA